RNAcentral lists this non-coding RNA (23 nucleotides) under Cricetulus griseus (Chinese hamster). Lineage: Eukaryota; Metazoa; Chordata; Mammalia; Rodentia; Cricetidae. The record is from RNAcentral.
ACAAGUUAUACUCUGAGAAAGCA